GACGAAGGGGGCAAGCGUUGUUCGGAAUUACUGGGCGUAAAGGGCGCGUAGGCGGUUCUUUAAGUCAGGCGUGAAAGCCCUGGGCUCAACCUGGGAGUGGCGCUUGAUACUGGGGGACUAGAGAGUGGGAGAGGUUGGUGGAAUUCCCAGUGUAGAGGUGAAAUUCGUAGAUAUUGGGAAGAACACCGGUGGCGAAGGCGGCCAACUGGACCAUUUCUGACGCUGAGGCACGAAAGCGUGGGGAGCAAACAGG
Molecule: ribosomal RNA, 253 nt
Filed under: uncultured bacterium
Lineage: Bacteria
Description: partial 16S ribosomal RNA
Rfam family: Bacterial small subunit ribosomal RNA
Source: RNAcentral